RNAcentral lists this ribosomal RNA (253 nucleotides) under uncultured bacterium. RNAcentral's name for it is "partial 16S ribosomal RNA". It matches the Rfam family "Bacterial small subunit ribosomal RNA", at positions 524 to 776 of the family's 1533-position model. The record is from RNAcentral.
UACGGAGGGUGCGAGCGUUGUCCGGAAUCAUUGGGCGUAAAGGGUGCGUAGGUGGCGCCAUAAGUCAGGUGUGAAAUCUCGGGGCUUAACUCCGAAACUGCAUUUGAUACUGUGGUGCUUGAGGACUGGAGAGGAGACUGGAAUUCACGGUGUAGCAGUGAAAUGCGUAGAUAUCGUGAGGAAGACCAGUGGCGAAGGCGGGUCUCUGGACAGUUCCUGACACUGAGGCACGAAGGCCAGGGGAGCAAACGGG